GACGAACGCUGGCGGCGUGCUUAACACAUGCAAGUCGAACGGAAAGGCCUGCUUUCCCUUGUGGAUUGCGGGUACUCGAGUGGCGAACGGGUGAGUAACACGUGAGUGAUCUGCCCCCAACUUGGGUAUAAGCCUGGGAAACUGGGUCUAAUUCCCGAUAGGACUGCAGGGUGGUGCCUGUGGUGGAAAACAAUUUUCUAGUGGUUGGGGAUGAGCUCGCGGCCUAUCAGCUUGUUGGUGGGGUAAUGGCCUACCAAGGCGGCGACGGGUAGCCGGCCUGAGAGGGUGGACGGCCACAUUGGGACUGAGAUACGGCCCAGACUCCUACGGGAGGCAGCAGUGGGGAAUAGUGCACAAUGGGCGGAAGCCUGAUGCAGCGACGCCGCGUGGGGGAUGACGGCCUUCGGGUUGUAAACUCCUUUCGACCGCGAGGAAGCCACCUGGUUGGAAGGGUGGUGACGGUAGUGGUAGAAGAAGCACCGGCUAACUACGUG
RNAcentral lists this ribosomal RNA (494 nucleotides) under uncultured bacterium. RNAcentral describes it as "partial 16S ribosomal RNA". It matches the Rfam family "Bacterial small subunit ribosomal RNA", at positions 28 to 507 of the family's 1533-position model. The record is from RNAcentral.